GUGAAAUAAAUCACAAGAUAACAUACACCCCUUUGUUUGAACGUGAACAUUUCUCCCAUCCCCUUUGUAAAACGAAAACACCCUUUCCUAACUGAGGAAAGGGUGUUUU
This 109-nucleotide small RNA is filed under the name Psychrobacillus sp. OK032. RNAcentral describes it as "RNA Staph. aureus E". It matches the Rfam family "RNA Staph. aureus E (RoxS)". From Rfam's summary of the family: It was shown to be regulated by the presence of nitric oxide (NO). In Bacillus subtilis it controls expression of genes with functions related to oxidative stress and oxidation-reduction reactions and it was renamed RoxS (for related to oxidative stress). Lineage: Bacteria; Bacillati; Bacillota; Bacilli; Caryophanales; Bacillaceae. The record is from RNAcentral.